AGAGCCCAAACCAAGAAGCUUGCUUCUUGGGGUUGUAGGACACUCUAUACGGAGUUACAAAAGAAAGUUAUAAAUGAAGCGGUCUGGAAAGGCCCGCCAAAGACGGUAACAGCCCGGUAGUUGAAAUAGCUUUCCCUCCAGAGUGGAUCCUGAGUACGGCGGAACACGUGAAAUUCCGUCGGAAUCCGGGAGGACCAUCUCCCAAGGCUA
RNAcentral lists this ribosomal RNA (210 nucleotides) under Listeria monocytogenes. Its description in RNAcentral is "partial 23S ribosomal RNA". It matches the Rfam family "Bacterial large subunit ribosomal RNA", at positions 264 to 468 of the family's 2925-position model. The record is from RNAcentral. Lineage: Bacteria; Bacillati; Bacillota; Bacilli; Caryophanales; Listeriaceae.